This 71-nucleotide transfer RNA is filed under the name Methanobacteriota archaeon. RNAcentral describes it as "Euryarchaeota archaeon tRNA-Gly". It matches the Rfam family "tRNA". From Rfam's summary of the family: Transfer RNA (tRNA) molecules are approximately 80 nucleotides in length. Their secondary structure includes four short double-helical elements and three loops (D, anti-codon, and T loops). Lineage: Archaea; Methanobacteriati; Methanobacteriota. The record is from RNAcentral.
GCGGGCAUGGUGUAGCGGUAACAUCUGAGCCUUCCAAGCUCCAGUCACGGGUUCGAUCCCCGUUGCCCGCU